RNAcentral lists this ribosomal RNA (1621 nucleotides) under Chaetothyriales sp. MP-2014. RNAcentral's name for it is "eukaryotic LSU rRNA". The stretch from base 701 to 1621 matches the Rfam family "Eukaryotic large subunit ribosomal RNA", at positions 1 to 941 of the family's 3401-position model. Lineage: Eukaryota; Fungi; Ascomycota; Eurotiomycetes; Chaetothyriales. The record is from RNAcentral.
AUGGCUCAGUGAGGCCUUGGGAUUGGCCAGGGGAGGUGGGCCACCGCCACCCCAGGCCGAAAACUUGGUCAAACUUGGUCAUUUAGAGGAAGUAAAAGUCGUAACAAGGUUUCCGUAGGUGAACCUGCGGAAGGAUCAUUACCGAGUGAGGGUGUGCCCUUCGCGGCCGCCCGACCUCCAUACCCAAUGUCGACUGAACCACACGUUGCUUCGGCGGGCCGGGCUCGACCAACUGGUCGAACCCGCCGGCCCCUUGGGGGGCUGGAGCGCCGCCCGCCGAUGGCCCCUACCAAACCCUUGAUACCUAAACUGUCGUCUGAAUGAACUUUUUUGAUUGUACAAUCAAGCACUAAAACUUUCAACAACGGAUCUCUUGGUUCUGGCAUCGAUGAAGAACGCAGCGAAAUGCGAUAAGUAAUGCGAAUUGCAGAAUUUCCGUGAGUCAUCGAAUCUUUGAACGCACAUUGCGCCCAUUGGUAUUCCGAUGGGCAUGCCUGUUCGAGCGUCAUUGUCCCCCUCAGACCCCCCGGGUUUGGUGUUGGACCCAGGUCGGUCGCCCGCGACCGACCGGUCCCAAAGGCAAUGACGGCGUCCGUGGGACCCUCAACGCAACGAGCUUUCUCGGGAGCACGCGUCGAGUCGCAAGGACCCACGGGGCCGGUCACCCCCCUGCGCCACGCAGGGGCCCCCUUCUCCAGGUUGACCUCGGAUCAGGUAGGAAUACCCGCUGAACUUAAGCAUAUCAAUAAGCGGAGGAAAAGAAACCAACAGGGAUUGCCUCAGUAACGGCGAGUGAAGCGGCAACAGCUCAAAUUUGAAAUCUGGCCUCACGGCCCGAGUUGUAAUUUGUAGAGGAUGUUUUGGGCACCGCGGCGGUGUAAAUUUCUUGGAACAGAAUGUCAGAGAGGGUGAGAAUCCCGUCUUGGACCGCCGUAGGACCCGUGUAAAACUCCUUCGACGAGUCGACUUGUUUGGGAAUGCAGGUCAAAAUGGGUGGUAAAUUUCAUCUAAAGCUAAAUAUUGGCCAGAGACCGAUAGCGCACAAGUAGAGUGAUCGAAAGAUGAAAAGCACUUUGAAAAGAGAGUUAAACAGUAUGUGAAAUUGUUGAAAGGGAAGCGCUGGCAACCAGACUCGCGCGCGGGGUUCCCCCUUCCGUCAGGCUGGGUCACUUCCCCGCGUCCGGGCCAUCAUCAGUUUUGGGGGCCGGUCAAAGGCCCCGGGAAUGUAUCCACCCCUCCGGGGGUGGACUUAUAGCCCGGGGCGUCAUGCGGCCUCCCGGGACUGAGGAACGCGCUUCGGCGAGGAUGAUGGCGUAAUGGUUGUCAGCGGCCCGUCUUGAAACACGGACCAAGGAGUCUAACAUCUAUGCGAGUGUUCGGGUGUCAAACCCCUGCGCGGAAUGAAAGUGAACGGAGGUAGGAAGGCCUGAGCCUGCACUAUCGACCGAUCCUGAUGUCUUCGGAUGGAUUUGAGUAGGAGCAUAGCUGUUGGGACCCGAAAGAUGGUGAACUAUACGUGAAUAGGGUGAAGCCAGAGGAAACUCUGGUGGAGGCUCGCAGCGGUUCUGACGUGCAAAUCGAUCGUCAAAUUUGCGUAUAGGGGCGAAAGACUAAUCGAACG